GAAAUGCGAUAAGUAGUGUGAAUUGCAGAAUUCAGUGAAUCAUCGAAUCUUUGAACGCACAUUGUGCCCUUUGGUAUUCCUUAGGGCAUGCCUGUUCGAGCGUCAUUUAAACCCUUCAAGCUCAGCUUGGUGUUGGGUGACUGUCCGCCGCCCCCGGGCGUGGACUCGCCCCAAAUCCAUUGGCGGCCGGUACGUAGGCUUCGAGCGCAGCAGAAACGCGAACUCGAGCCCGCGGUGUCGGCUCCCAGAAGCCAUCUCUUUUAUUUUGACCUCGGAUCAGGUAGGGAUACCCGCUGAACUUAAGC
RNAcentral lists this unclassified non-coding RNA (305 nucleotides) under plant metagenome. RNAcentral's name for it is "partial contains 5.8S ribosomal RNA, internal transcribed spacer 2, and large subunit ribosomal RNA". The stretch from base 1 to 105 matches the Rfam family "5.8S ribosomal RNA", at positions 50 to 154 of the family's 154-position model. The record is from RNAcentral.